UUCUCUUAUUCUUUAUCUUUCCUAUUAUUUCUUCUUCUGCUCUUUCCUGCUCAUCAUCUGCCGAUGAAUUUGAGAAUCAAAUUCAUGAUUCUGAGAUUGAAAUAAGAGUGUUAAAGGUUAGUGAAGGGGCUAUUGGUAGAGAAGGUUAUUGUAUGGUCGAUUCAGGCUCAAGAGAAGAGGUGAAUUAGAGAAAGAAGAAAAUAGGUUUUCUGAGAAAUGAAUCGAUUGAGGAUUUAUGGAGUAUUGAUGUUGAAGUUAAAUAAUUAUAUAUGGGUAUUGUGUUAGUUUAGCAGUUGAGGUGAUGAGUUGAUAAAUUAAUGAAAUUAGGGUUUACCCAGAUGAAGUGAGGAUUCAAUUAGUGAUGGAGAAGAAGAAGAUAAAGGAUUUGUUUCGUUAACUUGAAGACUUAGCAACUUAUUUCUCAAUUACAGUGAGGAGUUGAAUGAAAUUAGGGUUUUAUAAGAAGAAUUCAGAGAAUUAGGGUUCAUGUGUUCUUCCCCAAAUUGGAAUUAGGGUUUCAGUAUAAAUAAAUUGGGGGAAAAGCAAUUCAGUUGAUGUCGGUACUUGGGUAAGCUUUUAAUUGUUUUAAUUUUGGUAUUUGAAGGAUAAAUUAUUGAAUUUUUGAAGUUAUAAGAAUGAUAAUGUAUUUACUGUGGUUGUGGAAUGUUUUGGUAGUGAUGUUGUUAAUCCGGUAGGAAGGUUGUUAAAUGAAAAUGGAGGUUAUGGGAAUUGGAUAUUAUUUUAACAAGAUUCAGAUGUUGAAUUAGGAAAUGGUAAUAAUGUUGUUGGUAGUCUGAACUGUGUUGGUUGUAAUGAACUGGACAAGGAAAUGGUAAUGGUGAUAGCUUUAGUGUUGAAUGUUGAUUAUGAGAAGGAAGGUAUAGAAUGUUGUUGUUCUGUGGAGGUGCAGGUGAAUGGUGAUGGAUGUAAUUGUAAGUUUUUGGUGGCUGAAGUAAAUGGGAUUGGGUCGGUCUAUGUGGGAUUGCAGUUGAGUGUGUUCGACUGAUAGUUGUGAUCUGCAGAUGGUUUUGUGGAAUGUAGCUGCAGUUCAAGUUGCAAGUGGUGGUGCAUGUCAUAUAAGGUGGAAUGGAUUGUAAUGAAAGUGAAGUUAUUUACAUGGUGGUGGGUGUAAGUGAUAAUUAGGUCUAAUAGUUCACCUCAGUGAAGUGUUAUUGCAUAAAUGGAUUUGGAGCGUGACAGAGACUUUGGAAUGAAACAUGUGGUGUUGUUUGAAUGUUGAUUGUUCAAUUUGGUGCUUCUAGUUCAUGCUUGCAACUACAGAAUAAGUUGGUUAUUAACAACGAUCGAUUCAAAGGACGAACCAGUGGAUCGUGGAUCUCGAGGUAGGAGUGGCUUGUCAUCAAAAAAGUUUCAGAGACUGAUCAGAGUUGCCCAGCGAAAGCUUCAUCGGUUGAGUUCGUUAGUUGGUUAACUUCUGAUAUGUUUAUUAUGUUGCAUAUUAUUUUUGUAAACCAAAUGACUAUUGUAUAUGUAUCAUUUGAGAGGAGAUCUUGUAUAUAUAUAUAUUUCUGAGCGGGUCUAGCUUUGGGUU
Long non-coding RNA from Papaver somniferum (opium poppy), 1552 nucleotides. RefSeq lists it as uncharacterized. The transcript has 3 exons. The record is from RefSeq and is a predicted model, not a curated record. NCBI's taxonomy places the organism in Eukaryota, Viridiplantae, Streptophyta, Magnoliopsida, Ranunculales, Papaveraceae.